Molecule: small RNA, 160 nt
Filed under: uncultured Catonella sp.
Lineage: Bacteria; Bacillati; Bacillota; Clostridia; Lachnospirales; Lachnospiraceae
Description: Clostridiales-1 RNA
Rfam family: Clostridiales-1 RNA
Source: RNAcentral
AGGCAGCAAAGAUAAGAGACCGCUGCAAGCUUGCUUGCAAAGGGAUCGAUAUCUUUCGAUGCGCGAACAAUAUGAAUAAGUAGCCGUUUUUCGUAAGAAAACGAGCGGAUUACGAAUAUUGUUUAAGGAUUGCGAGAGGCAAAGCCGUAGCAAUCCUGUA